Molecule: ribosomal RNA, 740 nt
Filed under: Typhlocharis sp. 4 aff. baetica CA-2017
Lineage: Eukaryota; Metazoa; Arthropoda; Insecta; Coleoptera; Carabidae
Description: SSU rRNA
Rfam family: Eukaryotic small subunit ribosomal RNA
Source: RNAcentral
GGGCAAGUCUGGUGCCAGCAGCCGCGGUAAUUCCAGCUCCAAUAGCGUAUAUUAAAGUUGUUGCGGUUAAAAAGCUCGUAGUUGAAUUUGUGUUCCGCGCUGUCGGUUCACCGCCCGCGGUGUUUAACUGGCACGUCCGCGGAACGUCCUGCCGGUGGACGCGUAGACCCUGUAUGCUUCCCCAUUGUGCGUGUGCAACUUCGGUUGUUACUGUAUGAUGUGGUGGGGUUGCAGGCGCUUUACCGUCCGACUCAAUAAUCCUGUCGCGGUGCUCUUAAUUGAGUGUCGAGGCGGGCCGGCACGUUUACUUUGAACAAAUUAGAGUGCUCAAAGCAGGCUAAAAUUUCGCCUGAAUACUGUGUGCAUGGAAUAAUGGAACAGGACCUCGGUUCUAUUUUGUUGGUUUUCGGAACCCCGAGGUAAUGAUUAAUAGGGACAGAUGGGGGCAUUCGUAUUGCGACGUUAGAGGUGAAAUUCUUGGAUCGUCGCAAGACGGACAGAAGCGAAAGCAUUUGCCAAAAAUGUUUUCAUUAAUCAAGAACGAAAGUCAGAGGUUCGAAGGCGAUCAGAUACCGCCCUAGUUCUGACCAUAAACGAUGCCAGCUAGCGAUCCGCCGACGUUCCUCCGAUGACUCGGCGGGCAGCUUCCGGGAAACCAAAGCUUUUGGGUUCCGGGGGAAGUAUGGUUGCAAAGCUGAAACUUAAAGGAAUUGACGGAAGGGCACCACCAGGAGUGGAGC